AGGACGAACGCUGGCGGCGUGCUUAACACAUGCAAGUCAAGGGGGCCCAGCAAUGGGCAACCGGCGAACGGGUGCGUAACACGUGGGCAACCUACCGAAAUGUGGGGGAUAGCCGGCCUAACGGCCGAGUAAUACCGCAUACGCUCUCGAUGAGGCAUUUCAUUGAGAGGAAACCUACGGGACAUUUCGAGGGGCUCGCGGCCUAUCAGCUAGUUGGCGAGGUAACGGCUCACCAAGGCAACGACGGGUAGC
RNAcentral lists this ribosomal RNA (252 nucleotides) under uncultured soil bacterium. RNAcentral describes it as "partial 16S ribosomal RNA". It matches the Rfam family "Bacterial small subunit ribosomal RNA", at positions 26 to 287 of the family's 1533-position model. The record is from RNAcentral.